UAUUGGCUUAGUUAGGAGGCAAAGAUUAAUGGAUCAUUAUUGGUCUUCUUAAGUCUUUUGAGAGGACUUUUGCUUCUUUGUCGAUUGUCCUCCAAGCAGUCUUAGGACAUAA
Molecule: small nucleolar RNA, 112 nt
Organism: Quercus robur (English oak)
Lineage: Eukaryota; Viridiplantae; Streptophyta; Magnoliopsida; Fagales; Fagaceae
Product: small nucleolar RNA U19
Exons: 1
Source: RefSeq, a predicted model, not a curated record